This 334-nucleotide unclassified non-coding RNA is filed under the name soil metagenome. RNAcentral's name for it is "partial contains 5.8S ribosomal RNA, internal transcribed spacer 2, and large subunit ribosomal RNA". The stretch from base 1 to 120 matches the Rfam family "5.8S ribosomal RNA", at positions 35 to 154 of the family's 154-position model. The record is from RNAcentral.
GAUGAAGAACGUAGCGAAAUGCGAUAAGUAGUGUGAAUUGCAGAAUUCAGUGAAUCAUCGAAUCUUUGAACGCACAUUGCGCCCCUUGGUAUUCCAUGGGGCAUGCCUGUUCGAGCGUCAUUUUUACCUUCAAGCUCUGCUUGGUGUUGGGUGAUUGUCUAUCUUUGUAGACUCGCCUUAAAGUCAUUGGCAGCCGGCAUAUUGGCCUGGGAGCGCAGCACAAGUCGCGCUUCUUGUCAUGAAUGUUGGCGUCCAGUAAGUCUACAUAUUUUGCUCUUGACCUCGGAUCAGGUAGGGAUACCCGCUGAACUUAAGCAUAUCAAUAAGCGGAGGA